This is a non-coding RNA of Camelina sativa (false flax), 536 nucleotides long. NCBI's taxonomy places the organism in Eukaryota, Viridiplantae, Streptophyta, Magnoliopsida, Brassicales, Brassicaceae. The record is from RefSeq and is a predicted model, not a curated record.
UGUUUAAUUGGUGAGGUUAUUACUACGUGCUUAUACGAUGCAAGUAGAAGACUAACACACUAUCAUCAUUUCAUUAUAAAUAGAGGUUGAUCUUUAGCUCAUUUCUUCACACAAAAUAAAAUAGUGAUAAUCAUCAUGGCUAAGUUUGCUUCCAUCAUCACCCUUAUGUUUGCAGCUCUUUUUCUCUUUGCUGCUUUUGAGACACCGUCAAUGAUGGAAGCACAUAUGUUGUGUGAUAGGCCUAGUAAGACAUGGUCAGGGGUUUGUGGAAACAAUAGUGCUUGCAAGAAUCAGUGCAUUAACCUUGAGGGAGCACGACAUGGAUCUUGCAACUAUGCCAACCCAACUCACAAGUGUAUUUGUUUCUUCUCAUGUUAAUCUCCCCAAAAUCGUUGUUGCUUAAAUGGGUGUAUUUUACAUAAAAUAAGUCUAUGUCGCUCUAUGUGAGUGACUUUAUGACAUGCAUAUUUAUGUUUUAAUGUUUGGUUGGACUUUUGUUUCUAUAGUAAUAUGAACACUUUGUGUUUUUUAAGCCA